GUCUAAGUAUAAACGAUUUAAUCGUGAAACCGCGAAUGGCUCAUUAUAACAGCUAUAAUUUACUUGAUCUUGACACAAUCCUACUUGGAUAACUGUGGUAAUUCUAGAGCUAAUACAUGCAUUAAAGCUCCGACCGCGCGUCAAAAACGCGGGAAGAGUGCACUUAUUAGAACAAAACCAAGCGGCUUCGGCUGUUCUUCGGUUGACUCAUAGUAACUGAGCUGAUCGCAUGGUCUUGCACCGGCGACGUGUCUUUCAAGUAUCUGCCGUAUCAACUUUCGAUGGUAGUGUAUCUGACUACCAUGGUGAUCACGCGUAACGGAGAAUAAGGGUUCGGCUCCGGAGAGUUCGCCUGAGAAAUCGCGAACACAUCUAAGGAAGGCAGCAGGCGCGAAAAUUACCCACUCUCAGCACGAGGAGGUAGUGACGAAAAAUAACGAGACCGUUCUCUUUCGAGGCCGGUCAUCGGAAUGGGUACAAUUUAAACCCUUUAACGAGUAUCUAUGAGAGGGCAAGUCUGGUGCCAG
Molecule: ribosomal RNA, 527 nt
Filed under: Nematoda environmental sample
Lineage: Eukaryota; Metazoa; Nematoda
Description: SSU rRNA
Rfam family: Eukaryotic small subunit ribosomal RNA
Source: RNAcentral